UGGGGAAUUUUGGACAAUGGGCGAAAGCCUGAUCCAGCAAUGCCGCGUGUGUGAAGAAGGCCUUCGGGUUGUAAAGCACUUUUGUCCGGAAAGAAAUCCUUGGCUCUAAUACAGUCGGGGGAUGACGGUACCGGAAGAAUAAGCACCGGCUAACUACGUGCCAGCAGCCGCGGUAAUACGUAGGGUGCAAGCGUUAAUCGGAAUUACUGGGCGUAAAGCGUGCGCAGGCGGUUUGCUAAGACCGAUGUGAAAUCCCCGGGCUCAACCUGGGAACUGCAUUGGUGACUGGCAGGCUAGAGUAUGGCAGAGGGGGGUAGAAUUCCACGUGUAGCAGUGAAAUGCGUAGAGAUGUGGAGGAAUACCGAUGGCGAAGGCAGCCCCCUGGGCCAAUACUGACGCUCAUGCACGAAAGCGUGGGGAGCAAACAGGAUUAGUACCCUGGUAGUCCCACGCCCUAAACGAUGUCAACUAGUUGUUGGGGAUUCAUUUCCUUAGUAACGUAGCUAACGCGUGAAGUUGACCGCCUGGGGAGUACGGUCGCAAGAUU
RNAcentral lists this ribosomal RNA (547 nucleotides) under uncultured bacterium. RNAcentral describes it as "partial 16S ribosomal RNA". It matches the Rfam family "Bacterial small subunit ribosomal RNA", at positions 355 to 895 of the family's 1533-position model. The record is from RNAcentral.